AAUAGGACAAUACAAAUAAACAGAAUGGAAAAAGCACAAGAGAAGGCACAAGAAACAGAUAAAGACGCAGAGACCCACUUGUCUACAUACUCAGGAAUCCCAUAAAAACACUAAAUUAGACCUCAAUUUUUAUGCUUCAGUCUCCAGUAUAAGAUUAUAAACCUAAUCUGCCAUGAGUAGCUUGGCUAUUUUUAAAGGUCUAUUUCCAGUUAUUUCAAUGUAUGUUGAAAACAAAUAUGAGGCAGUCAAAUAUGUUUAAGUUGCCAUGUGAAUCUGAUUAUUACAGUUUUCAGAACUAUUAGGGUCCAGAGCCUGGGCCAUGGCAACACCAAUAAGUUAGGCAGACCUCUUUUCCUAGUAGGCCAGGGUCAGACCCUUGAAAAACAAAGAUUUAGCCAUAUUGGGAAGAAGAACAAAAAAAAAAAAAAAAGAUUCUGUGAACACCAAAGCCAACUAUUGGAUAAUGAAAUGAGGUUUAAAUUUCUUCUGCAAGGUGAUUUAACAAGUUGUCAAAAUGGUGUGAAAUCUAUUCCCAGAGAAAAUAGAUCUCUUCCCAGAGACAAGUCCCUCCAGUGGAAGGUUGUAACAAUAACUCUUUCUGCUAACUGCCUGAGUUCUGUUGACAUGCUAGGGCCCCAAAAUAACACACAGAGUAUUAUAUUAUUUACAAUGCUGCUGGCCAAUGACUAGAAUUUCUUAUAUGCUAGCUUAGUCUUAAUUAUCAACCAUAACUUCUAAUCUAUGUAUUUUAUAAAGAUUUAUCUUACCUAGGACACUGGCAGUAUGCGUCCCCUCUUCACGGGAUCACAUUGCAACUCCUGAAUUUCCUACAUUUCCCAGAAUCCUCCUUGACUUCUAGUCCCAACUAACUUGCUUCCCUAUUGUCCAACAGUGCUUUAUCUAUCAACCAAUAAGACAAACAUAUACAAAGAAAGGCUUCCCCUAUCAGAAGGUACCAAGCUUCAGGUUUUUUCCUUCCAUCAGCAUUAGAGUCUUAGAAAUUCCUAGUUUGGGGAGAACCAUUCUUUCAUUUUUUUUUCUAACCAAAGAAAGAUGUACAAGUGUCACAGUUUGAAAUAUUUUCCUCCUGACAGGAAUGUUACUCUGUCAUCUUCUUUGAAGACUUGCUAUUUCUUUAGUCUCUCAGAUACAGUGAUUUUUGUGAAGUCGUAUCACUAGCAUUUAAUAGAACUGGGCUGAAAAAUGCAAUAGAGUAGAGGAAUACCUCAGAGCCGCUUCUCUCCCUUCACCAUGUAAGGCCCCACAGAUCAAACUCAGGCCAUCACUGUUGGCAGCAAGCACUUUUACCUUCUAAGACAUCCCACCACUCUCAUCCCCAAGUGCAGAUGUUCUGAGUUCAGAACUCAAUUGCCUUGAAGUUGUCCACAGGACAUAGAAGAGUGCAUCCAGGAAAACCUUGGAUUCCUUAUACAUAUGAUUUGGGGAAUGGAUAUCCCGACAAUUGAGUUAGACCUUUGAAGACUAGCAUUUGUCUUGUUCCCUCAACUCUUAAGCUCUCUGUCAGUCCCCCUUGAAUGGAGAUGAAAUAGCAUCUAGGUAGACCAUCCCAUAUUUUUUUUUAAUUAUCAGUGACUUUCACUCAUGUUCUAAAAGAUGGUGUCCAAAUUUCAAUGAUUACUGGCCAUCUAAAACAUUAUGGUAAGAGAAUGAGAAAUGCCAUCUUGGUUUAUUCAGGUUCCGUAACACAUUGGUCAUUUCACACAUAUUUAUUGCAGGAACUGGAGAGCCAGCUCUCUCUGGAGUCUUUACAAUGGUUCUGAUUCUAAGCAUGAGCACUGUUCUCUGCUGCACACUCUCCUCUCAGGAGCUCUACCUCCUUGUAGCAUUGCCUUGGGUUCAAUAUGCAACACAUGAAUCUUAUGAAUGCACAGCAUACAAGCCAAAAAUGAAUCUCUAUACCAUCCAUUCAAAAAGGAAAUUAAAAACUCCUCUUAGAAAUUCUCCUGUCAAGCUUGUCAGUGCCCCAUUCUUUAGAAGGUUAGUUCAUAGAUCAUAUAGAUCGAGGCUAGGAAGGUAAAGAAUUAGCCUCUCCAGCUCUACAGUGAAGACAUAAAAGGGGAUGGGGGUGAUGAUGAUUUACUGCUCAGAACCAGAUGACCUUUUCAGGCUCAAUAUUAAAAUGUUUGCCAGUUUUUUGUCAGGUAAAAUCUGUGAAUACCCAUAAAAAUGAAGAAAUCAGUUGUUAGUAUUCCAAAUUACCCAAUAAAAUUAAAUCUUAUCUUUUUCUCAUACUUAAUUUGAAUUUUUGUCAGUCAUUGUCAUUGUACCAAAAAUUACAAAUAUUACCUUGAAUAUCACUGACACACCAACAAGGAAUAUUUUCUAAGGAUGAAAUGGAAUUGAAUUUAAGAAUAUGUUUGCACUCUUACUGGGAAAAGGAAAGUAACAUUCACUGAACCUGUUAGUUUUAUUUUUCCUUUGGGGUUAAAAUAAGUUUUCUCUACAUCUUUGGAAAAUGUCAGCAGACAACUCAAAUAUGAUAUGAAACAGAAAUGCUGGGGCUCUAAUUUGCAUCAAAGCCAAAGCCACAGGACUUCUGUCAUCUCCUCUUCAAAGCACUGUCCUAAGGGAUGUACUGUUUCAUUGCAAACCAAGGAAUCCAUGCUCAAACAAGUAACUGCUGCCUCAAAUUUAACCUGAAAGCUUUAAAUUGGAAAAAACAAAAUAGCUGAGAAGAGAGCCCCACCAAUUCCCCAAGUGUUCCUGCUGCUUUCAGACAGUGUUCCUCACCAUUCCAGAUAUUGUGUUAAUAAGCAAAAAAGAGGUAAACAAUGCCCUGGUGAAUUACAAUAAGACAUAUUACAAAUAAAUAGAUCAUAACCAAAGAGGGAGCUCAUGAAACAAGUCCAAGAACCUAAUUUUCUAAUCUCUAUAACUCAUAUUUUAGUUUAUUUUCUUUCCAGGUAACUUUCAGUAUCCAGGAAUUUGUCUUGGGGCAUAUAUUAGAAAAUGCAAAGAUAAUAUAAAUAUCGUAGAGAGCAGCAGGAUAGCAUUGGGACUGAAAGCUAAUAUUAAAAUAAUAACUAAAGAUAUUGUGAAAGCAAUUUAUAAGUUUUCAAAAUCAUUCAAAUAGCUGCUGUUGCUGUGUAUUACAAAACUUAUAAACAAAUAUUUUGGUGCAUAGGUGAAAGUACACAGUUUUCUUUUAUUUUAAUAGUGAGGCAACUGUCUCCAAGUCCUUCUAAGAACUGGGAUAGAAGCAAACAAUGCAGAAUAAAUAUCAAUAAAUGACAUAGCAACAAAGCUUCAGCAGGAGUGAAAGGCAUGGUUUACCUCUUUUAGGCAUACCAAGGUGAUUAGAAUAAUAACGUCACAAUCACAGAGACAUGGAAAUACAAAUGUAAACCUUCUGAAAGGAUUUGGUGGAAGCGGCCCAAAGAAUCAGAGUGUUAAAUGUUUGCACCAUUCGUGAAGGAACAAACAUUAAUGAUAUGAGCAAAGACAUGGAGCAGUAUUAAUUAACUGAGUCAAGGUGGAUUCCACCACUCCUCCUUUGCAUGCCAGGAGCAAUCUGAUAUCUUGCUGUCUGUAAAACCACUGUGAUAUACUUAUUAUUAAUACACUGUUGACUUACUGUAUUAAAAUGUUUGUAAAAUAUCUUAUGUAAUUGAUUAUAGCAUUGCUUAAACCUAAUGGAAUUGAAUAUAAAAAAUAAAGCCUGGCUAAGUGCUGCAAA
Cricetulus griseus (Chinese hamster) is the source of this 3697-nucleotide non-coding RNA. The record is from RefSeq and is a predicted model, not a curated record. Lineage: Eukaryota; Metazoa; Chordata; Mammalia; Rodentia; Cricetidae.